RNAcentral lists this ribosomal RNA (290 nucleotides) under Shigella dysenteriae. Its description in RNAcentral is "partial 23S ribosomal RNA". It matches the Rfam family "Bacterial large subunit ribosomal RNA", at positions 529 to 821 of the family's 2925-position model. Lineage: Bacteria; Pseudomonadati; Pseudomonadota; Gammaproteobacteria; Enterobacterales; Enterobacteriaceae. The record is from RNAcentral.
GCGAGGGGAGUGAAAAAGAACCUGAAACCGUGUACGUACAAGCAGUGGGAGCACGCUUCGGCGUGUGACUGCGUACCUUUUGUAUAAUGGGUCAGCGACUUAUAUUCUGUAGCAAGGUUAACCGAAUAGGGGAGCCGAAGGGAAACCGAGUCUUAACUGGGCGUUAAGUUGCAGGGUAUAGACCCGAAACCCGGUGAUCUAGCCAUGGGCAGGUUGAAGGUUGGGUAACACUAACUGGAGGACCGAACCGACUAAUGUUGAAAAAUUAGCGGAUGACUUGUGGCUGGGGG